Molecule: long non-coding RNA, 4116 nt
Filed under: Selaginella moellendorffii
Lineage: Eukaryota; Viridiplantae; Streptophyta; Lycopodiopsida; Selaginellales; Selaginellaceae
Description: long non-coding RNA (SMOE_LNC001781)
Source: RNAcentral
UGCAUGAUCUAAUAUAAGUUCUUCAAUAAAUAUGUGUGAAGAUCGAUUCACCGGGAUAUGGCGACUGAGGGCUUGGUCGCCGCAGGCGCUACUGCAGCAUUGGGAGCUCUUCGAGGAGAUCUUCGAGGAACAGCCGACCUUCUGAUCAAGCUUGCUUGUGCUGCUUGCAACAGCAUAGGCAGAUGCCAGGCGAUGGCAGACAAGGUGAAGAUGGUUAAAACCGCCCUCGAGAGCAGCUCAUACAGGUACGACGAUGUCAACCUUCAGGUUAAUCUAGAAAAGCUGCUAGUUGUGAUGAAAGACUGCGUGUGUCUUGUCGAGAAACACAGCAAGACGAGUACGGUGAGCUUCUUCUUCUCGUGCCACGCUCUCACUGUUGACGAAUUUGACGACCUCAACGCGCGCCUCAAUCGCUGCAUCAGCUGCUUGAAUCUGAUCACAUCUCCUCGUAUGAUCGCAGUCAUGAGCACAAAGACGAGAUCAUAGCCCAAGUACAGGCCAACACAGCACGAACUAUUGAGGAGAUAAAGCAGCUGGUCAAGGGCCAGGAGCCCGUAGAAUAUUUGACAGCCGUGCAGGGCGUUGUGACCGUGGGUGAAGCCUUGGCCGGGGACUACAUGAUAUCUGCGACGCUCACCGACAACAGCUCCUCAGUGUCACGGAAAGUCAUCCUAGUGCAGUCACACGAGACAAAGAAGGAAGUUGCGAUCCUGGAGAAACUAAGCCUUCACGAGUGCAUACUUGAGUUGCUUGGCAUCUUUCCAUAUGGUGAGUCCAAGCCUUAGACACCGACCUGCCUUUGAUGAAAAGUGUGACAUCUACUCACUGGGAGUGGUGAUUUGGGAGCACAUCACUGGGAACUUUCCUUUCGCCAAAUACACUAACUACCGAAAACUUACCAGAGAUCGGAGCGAAAAUGUUGCCCUCUUAAAAAAGCGAACUUAAGUGACAAACUCAAAAGUUAAAGAGUGAGUUUGGAUAAUCACGAAGCGUUCCUCACUUCCACUUGCAGUGGAAGUAAAAGAGUAGCAGCAAUAAGAAUACAAACAUCUUGGUUUUAUUUUUCUUUCUCUUGGCUUGGAUUCGAUUCGCUUGAAACGAUGGAACUUUAGCUGGCGAGAGCUUCCUUGAGCUCCUUAUUCUCUUUCAUCUCCAUGAUAAUGUCACAGCCCCCGAUAAGCUCGCCUUUGAGGUAGAGCUGAGGAUAAGUUGGCCAGUUUGAGAAUGCCUUGAGCCCCUCGUCACUGAGAAUAUCAAAGCUGCCAAAUUCGAUGCCUUCCUCCUUGAGUGCGCUUGCCACCUUCUUGCUAAACCCGCACUUUGGCUCCUCGGGCGUCCCUUUCAUGAAAAGCAUUGUCGGGGACGAGUGAAUCAGCUUUUUCAGCCGGCUGUUGAUGUCUUCCUUUUCCUCUGUCGCCCCCACAGCUUCCUUGAGCUCGCCACUCUUGUGCAUUUCCAUGACGAUGUCGCAUCCACCUAUCAGCUCGCCCUUGACGUAUAGCUGCGGAAACGUUGGCCAGUUGGAGAAGGACUUGAUGCCUUGCCGGACCUCUUCGUCGCUCAGAAUGUCGAAGGAGCCAAAAGGAACUCCCACCUCCUCGAGUGCUCCCGCAACUUUCUUGCUGAAACCGCACUUUGGCUCCGACGGACUCCCUUUCAUGAACAGCAUCACGUCGUGCGAGUGGAUAAGCUUUUUUAGACGCUCCUCGAGAGUUUCCUCCGGUCCCUUGUCGGAUCCAUUGGCGUGAGCUUUGCUGCCAUUCUCUUGCGACUUUAGCUUGGCGUCCGCAAGAGCUUCUCCCAGCUCCCCACUCUUGUGCAUCUCCAUUAUCACAUCACACCCUCACAAACAGCACACAAUAGUAAGAAAAAAACGACCAAAUGCAGCGAUUGAGUGACUUUUCCUUUUCUACCUUUAUAAAAACGAAGUAAGGCACCAAAGAAACGCUGUACUUUUCGGAUAUUUCUGGAUGCUCCUCGGCUUCAACCUGUGAGUACAAUAAUUGGUGGAUGUUUAUUAGUCAAGUCUAGGCAAAUCAGAGAAGAGAAAAUCGAGCACACGCCCUGUCAAGCGAGACAUGGCAUACGGCACUGCAAGAUCCAGAAGAGAAGGGGAAAAAAAAAUAGCACCACCAACAACCAGACUCACUUAAGAAUGAGACUUGCCAUUCACAACUCCACAACAAAAAUGUGACCGAUUUAGAAACGUGGAAGAUGAAAGAGAAACAAAAAAAACAAGACAAGCAGCAGCGAAUCGAGAAAAAAAUAAAUAAAUAAAAAUAAAAUGCGAUCCGAGAAAUCGGUGAAGUAUUAACCGGUGAAGUAUUGUAUACAAACCCGGAGAAAUCUGGCCCGCGGUGCAGUGUCGGCACAGAGCUGCUCGAAGACGACAUCCAUUUGCUUGGAGGCCUCGCACCAGGGCGUACGGAAAUGGAGCACGACCGAUUUACCAGCCUUGACAACCUCGUCGAGAUGCGCCAAUCCACGAGCUUCUUCCACCAUGAGCGCCAUGGCUCUCCCUCUUCGAUCGCUCGAGACCCUAGAACAGAGGAGACCUAGGGCAAGCUUUUAAAGAGGACGAGCAAGCGCAUAUUCCCUCCCAACAGAUAGCGCAUAUUCCACCACCGCCCCACCCAACGUUGUAGUGGUCAAACAGAGACCGCUUCUAUACAUAGACAUCAGCAAAGAAACUAAAGAAAUUAAGAGAGAUUUAUUUCUGAAGCACUAGAAUACAUUACAAAAUACCUUAUGCACUUCUUUCUUCAGCUCGCCCACUUGCCACGUCAGCACUCAGUUAGGGCUCAAUCAAACUAGACACCGUUAUCACCAGUGUCACUUUAGCCCAUUAUAACGUGCAAAACCCCGUUUUCGUGCAUCGGGCGCCACGUGUUGAGCUGUGGCCGGCCAGAUUACUAUACUAGGAGAGUGAUGUGGAUAAAAUAUGUGUGAAGAUUGAUUCACCGGGAUAUGGCGACUGAGGGCUUGGUCGCCGCAGGGGCUAGUGCAGCAUUGGGAGCUCUUCGAGGAGAUCUUCGAGGAACAGCCGACCUUCUGAUCAAGCUUGCUUGUGCUGCUCGCAACAGCAUAGGCAGAUGCCAGGCGAUGGCAGACAAGGUGAACAUGGUUACCACCGCCCUCGAGAGCAGAUCAUACAGGUACGACGAUGUCAACCUUCAGGCUAAUCUAGAAAAGCUGCUAGUUGUGAUGAAAGACUGCGUGUGUCUUGUCGAGAAACACAGCAAGACGAGUGCGGUGAGCUUCUUCUUCUCGUGCCACGCUCUCACUGUUGACGAAUUUGACGACCUCGACGCGCGCCUCAAUCGCUGCAUCAGCUGCUUGAAUCUGAACUUCCACAUCUCCUCGUAUGAUUGCAGUCAUGAGCACAAAGACGAGAUCAUAGCCCAUAUACAGGCCAACACAGCACGAACAGCACGAACUAUUGAGGAGAUAAAGCAGCUGGUCAAGGGCCAGGAGCCCGUAGAAUAUUUGACAGCCGUGCAGGGCGUUGUGACCGUGGGUGAAGCCUUGGCCGGGGACUACAUGAUAUCUGCGACGCUCACCGACAACAGCUCCUCAGUGUCACGGAAAGUCAUCCUAGUGCAGUCACACGAGACAAAGAAGGAAGUUGCGAUCCUGGAGAAACUAAGCCUUCACGAGUGCAUACUUGAGUUUCUUGGCAUCUUUCCAUAUGGUGAGUCCAAGCCUUAUCUUGUCUUUGAGAGGCCCUCCGAGGAAAUGACAACAUUGGACGAACUGAUCAAUAAGAACCCGGGGAGUUUUAUGAGUGACUGGAGAGUAAAGAGACAGAUCGCUCUGGAGCUGGCAAGAGGUAUGAGAGACUCUCAUCUGGCCGGUGUGGUCCACAAGAAUUUCCGCAGCUCCAACAUAUUUCUUAGCGGUGACCUUCAGCACGCUAAGAUCUUUGGCUUCUACCAGGGAAGGAUCAAGCUGGAGCCAAGUGCCAAGAAGUGGAUGAACGACGAGCAAGUCCGCUGGGCUGCACCUGAGCAAGUUCAGAGACACCGACCUGCCUUUGAUGAAAAGUGUGACAUCUACUCACUGGGAGUGGUGAUUUGGGAGCUCAUCACUGGGAACUUUCCUUUCGCCAAAUACACU